RNAcentral lists this ribosomal RNA (287 nucleotides) under Loma richardi. RNAcentral describes it as "partial large subunit ribosomal RNA". It matches the Rfam family "Bacterial large subunit ribosomal RNA", at positions 26 to 379 of the family's 2925-position model. The record is from RNAcentral. Lineage: Eukaryota; Fungi; Microsporidia; Glugeidae.
CUCUGCGCAAGGGAUCUUUUGGUUCGCUAGACGAAGAAGGGCGCAGCGGAAUGCGAAAUGUGCAGGAGUCGCAGCGAAGAUAGCACAUGCCUGAAAUCACGAGAGUGUGAGACUACCCCUUUGAAUUAAGCAUAUGAGUAAAGGGAGGAAAAGAAACUAACAAGGAUUCCUGUAGUAGCGGCGAGCGAAGAAGGAACAGCCCCGAGUGUAAUCACCAAUAUGUGAGAUGUCAUUAAUCUAUAGAACGAUGUUGAAACUUCGGCCUGAGAGGGUGAUAGCCCCGUAAA